AUGAGUGCACCAACGGCCUUAGCUUGGAGCUUGGAGGCAUCUCGGCAGGGCGUUGUCUUCCCCCUCAUAGUCUUGCCGAGUCAUCCAAAAGACUGGAAUCAGACUUGGUUCUAUUGUCAAGACAUUUCACCAGCAAACGAGAAGCCAUUGCCGGGUUAUCGCCCCGAACAUCUUGAUUCCAAGUUCGCGCUCCCUAACAAGCUUACUGCUAUCGAACACAAGAAGCUGAUCCCAUCAAUAAAGAGGAUUAAUGCCUUAUUAGUAAACGGCUUAACCGGAGUUGAUCUGACCCACUGCUGGAUCUCAUGGCGGGUUAUCCCUCUAAGCCGUCGGUCAAAAUUGAUGUACGAGUAUGGUGGAGGCCCAGAUGACUCUCUUCGUCACAGCUCCGUUCAACUAACAGAAGAAGAUAUUGUUUCAAUGUCAACCCUUCUGGUGAAUGGAAAAUACGAAGACUGCAGUAUCGUCGGGUUAAACCCCUUCUGCAAGCUUAACCCGGUGCCAGAAGCCAGAUCUAAUUUCUGGAAAGUUAAAUAUGACCAUGAAGCUGCCAAGAAAGCAAGAGCCGCCGCCAUAAACGCCAAGAAAAUGACCCGGAGGUCAAAAAAGAAGAAAAAGAGCACCGCUGGAGAUAUGAUGAAACUCGACGAUACUUCUGAGUAG
RNAcentral lists this ribosomal RNA (663 nucleotides) under Triticum aestivum (bread wheat). RNAcentral describes it as "partial small subunit ribosomal RNA". Lineage: Eukaryota; Viridiplantae; Streptophyta; Magnoliopsida; Poales; Poaceae. The record is from RNAcentral.